Lolium perenne is the source of this 389-nucleotide long non-coding RNA. RefSeq lists it as uncharacterized. NCBI's taxonomy places the organism in Eukaryota, Viridiplantae, Streptophyta, Magnoliopsida, Poales, Poaceae. The record is from RefSeq and is a predicted model, not a curated record.
UCCGGCUGAGCCGUUCCUCUUCCUAAUCUCAACUCCUCCACCAUAAAUACACCUAAAUGAUUGUGCAGCCGAAACCGAAUAAGGGGAGUCCACCAGUCCUUGAUCUCCAUGAACGGAGAUUCAUGGCUUCAUCCGUUCCGUUACAAGAAACCGAUGGAGGAAGUAUUACUAUAAUAAUUUCAACAAUUUGGGCGAUUGUUCUCAUGGUUUUCUGUUAUUCUUUCACCACAAGCCAGAAAAAAUUCAGUAGGGACCCUUUUACUUACUAACACAUGAGCCAUUUACUCUGAAUUUAUCUGGAAGGAACAAUGAUUGUAUUUUACACAACUGACUCUGUUAAGCAUGCACAUUUUUUCAAGUUAUAUUUAUACCAUUUAUUUUUCAGUGUA